GACGAACGCUGGCGGCGUGCUUAACACAUGCAAGUCGAACGGAAAGGCCCUGCUUUUGUGGGGUGCUCGAGUGGCGAACGGGUGAGUAACACGUGAGUAACCUGCCCUUGACUUUGGGAUAACUUCAGGAAACUGGGGCUAAUACCGGAUAGGAGCUCCUGCUGCAUGGUGGGGGUUGGAAAGUUUCGGCGGUUGGGGAUGGACUCGCGGCUUAUCAGCUUGUUGGUGGGGUAGUGGCUUACCAAGGCUUUGACGGGUAGCCGGCCUGAGAGGGUGACCGGCCACAUUGGGAAUGAGAUACGGCCCAGACUCCUACGGGAGGCAGCAGGGGGGAAUAUUGCACAAUGGGCGGAAGCCUGAUGCAGCAACGCCGCGUGCGGGAUGACGGCCUUCGGGUUGUAAACCGCUUUCGCCUGUGACGAAGCGUGAGUGACGGUAAUGGGUAAAGAAGCACCGGCUAACUACGUG
RNAcentral lists this ribosomal RNA (468 nucleotides) under uncultured bacterium. RNAcentral's name for it is "partial 16S ribosomal RNA". It matches the Rfam family "Bacterial small subunit ribosomal RNA", at positions 28 to 507 of the family's 1533-position model. The record is from RNAcentral.